UAAGCAAAUAGUGAAAUCAUCCGGCUCAACCGGGUGCCUAUUAUUUGAACUGGCUCACUAGAGUACGAGAGAGGAAGUUGGAAUUCCUGGUGUAGGAGUGAAAUCCGUAGAUAUCAGGAGGAACACCAAUGGCGAAGGCAGACUUCUGGCUCGUUACUGACACUGAGGCUCGAAAGCGUGGGGAGCGAACGGGAUUAGAUACCCCGGUAGUCCACGCCGUAAACGAUGGAUGCCA
RNAcentral lists this ribosomal RNA (235 nucleotides) under uncultured Candidatus Saccharibacteria bacterium. Its description in RNAcentral is "partial 16S ribosomal RNA". It matches the Rfam family "Bacterial small subunit ribosomal RNA", at positions 584 to 818 of the family's 1533-position model. Lineage: Bacteria; Candidatus Saccharimonadota. The record is from RNAcentral.